CGUAGGGUGCGAGCGUUAAUCGGAAUUACUGGGCGUAAAGCGUGCGCAGGCGGUUUUGUAAGACAGAUGUGAAAUCCCCGGGCUCAACCUGGGACCUGCAUUUGUGACUGCAAGGCUAGAGUACGGUAGAGGGGGAUGGAAUUCCGCGUGUAGCUGUGAAAUGCGUAGAUAUGCGGAGGAACACCGAUGGCGAAGGCAAUCCCCUGGACCUGUACUGACGCUCAUGCACGAAAGCGUGGGGAGCAAACAGGAUUAGAUACCCUGGUAGUCCACGCCCUAAACGAUGUCAACUGGUUGUUGGGUCUUUACUGACUCAGUAACGAAGCUAACGCGUGAAGUUGACCGCCUGGGGAGUACGGCCGCAAGGUUG
Molecule: ribosomal RNA, 370 nt
Filed under: uncultured organism
Description: bacterial SSU rRNA
Rfam family: Bacterial small subunit ribosomal RNA
Source: RNAcentral